GGGCAUACCUGUAGACCUUGCCUGACUGUGGUCAUGGCCAGGCAGAGGGGACAUUGUAUGCAAGAAUAAUUUGAAAUUCCUGCCAGCUUUAGCCAGUAAUCAGUGGCUGGAUAAAUUGCAGGACUCUUAACAUUC
Aotus nancymaae (Ma's night monkey) is the source of this 135-nucleotide small nucleolar RNA. The record is from Ensembl. NCBI's taxonomy places the organism in Eukaryota, Metazoa, Chordata, Mammalia, Primates, Aotidae.